This 372-nucleotide ribosomal RNA is filed under the name uncultured bacterium. RNAcentral describes it as "bacterial SSU rRNA". It matches the Rfam family "Bacterial small subunit ribosomal RNA", at positions 527 to 896 of the family's 1533-position model. The record is from RNAcentral.
AGAGGCCUCGAGCGUUAGUCGGAGUCACUGGGCUUAAAGCGUACGUAGGCGGACGUGCAGGCGUCUUGUGAAAUCCCCCGGCUCAACCGGGGAACUGCGAGGCGAACCGCAUGUCUUGAGGUCAGUAGGGGCUGUCGGAACGAUAGGUGGAGCGAUGAAAUGCGUUGAUAUCUAUCGGAACGCCGAAGGUGAAACCAGGCAGCUGGGCUGAUUCUGACGCUGAGGUACGAAAGCGUGGGGAGCAAACGGGAUUAGAUACCCCGGUAGUCCACGCCGUAAACGAUGCGCACUAGAUCGAGGGGGUUCUGACACCGUCCUUGGUCGAAGCAAAAGUGUUAAGUGCGCCGCCUGGGGAGUACGGUCGCAAGGCUA